AGAGCGUAGGGAGAAUGACUUGGCAUCAGGAGCCGACGAAGGACGUGACAAGCUGCGAUAAGCUGCGGUUAGGAGCAAAUAUCCAUAGACCCGCAGAUUUCCGAAUGGGGAAACCCGGUAAGGCAAUACCUUAUCACCGUUAAGUGAAUACAUAGCUUAGCGGAGGAAACCCUCUGAACUGAAACAUCUAAGUAGGAGGAGGAAGAGAAAGAAAAAUCGAUUUUCUGAGUAGCGGCGAGCGAAAGGGAAAGAGGCCAAACCUAUUGUAGCAAUACAGUAGGGGUUGCGGACUGCAAACGCUAUUAAAAUCUUUAGCAGAAGACUUUGGGAAGAGUCGCCAUAGUAGGUAACAGCCCUGUAAGCGAAAAGGAUUUUGAAGUAGCAGUAUCCAGAGUACCAUCGGACACGAGGAACCCGGUGGGAAGCCGGAGGGACCACCCUCCAAGCCUAAAUACUACCUGAUGACCGAUAGCGAAUAGUACAGUGAUGGAACGUUGAAAAGAACCCCGGGAGGGGAGUGAAAUAGAACCUGAAACCCUAUGUUUACAAGCUGACAAAGCACCUUAAGAGUGCGAUGUCGUACUUUUUGUAGAACGGUCCAGCGAGUGUAUGUUGCAAGCGAGGUUAAGGUAUUCAGUACCGAAGCCGAAGGGAGACCGAGUGUGAAUAGCGCGUAAAGUUUGCAGUAUACGACCCGAAACCGGGUGACCUAACCAUGGACAGGCUGAAGUGGAAGUAAAAUUCCAUGGAGGGCCGAACCCACUGCUGUUGAAAAAGUAGGGGAUGAGCUGUGGUUAGCGGUGAAAUUCCAAUCGAACUCGGAUAUAGCUGGUUCUCAUCGAAAUAGCUUUAGGGCUAGCCUCGGAUUAGUUUAGCGGAGGUAGAGCACUGAAUGGGCUAGGGGGCUUCACGGCUUACUGAACCCUAUCAAACUCCGAAUGCCGCAUAAAUGAUGUCCGGGAGUCAGACUGCGUGAGAUAAGUUUCGUGGUCAAAAGGGAAAGAGCCCAGACCUACAGCUAAGGUCCCUAAAUGGUUUUAAGUGGAAAAGGAUGUGCAGUUGCGUAGACAACUAGGAUGUUGGCUUAGAAGCAGCCACUCAUUCAAAGAGUGCGUAAUAGCUCACUAGUCGAGUGAUUGUGCGCCGAAAAUGUAACGGGGCUAAAAACCAUACCGAAGCUUGGGAGGAGUACGAAAGUACUGUUGGUAGAUGAGCGUUGUGUUACCCUGAGAAGCUACAGCGGAAGCAGUGGUGGAGGAAGCACAAGUGAGAAUGCUGGAAUGAGUAGCGAGAAUUAUGUGAGAAUCAUAAUGGUCGAAAAUCUAAGGUUUCCUGGGGAAGGUUCGUCCGCCCAGGGUUAGCCGGGAGCUAAGGCGAGGCCGAGAGGCGUAGUCGAUGCACAUACGGUGAAAAUUCCGUAGCCGCCGAAAUUGUUAAGUACAAGGACACAGGAGCAUAACCUGACCCUGCCGUUGGUUGAGCAGGGCGAAAGGGAGCGAAAUCAAGUAGCGAAGCAGGUGAUUGCACACUGGCGAGAAAAGUUGUAUGUAUUAAUUAGGUGCCCGUACCGCAAACCGACACAGGUAGAUGAGGAGAGAAUCCUAAGACCAUCGGGAGAAAUGUUGUUAAGGAACUCGGCAAAAUGACCCCGUAACUUCGGGAUAAGGGGAGCCUGGAAACAGGCCGCAGAGAAUAGUCCCAAGCGACUGUUUAGCAAAAACACAGGUCUAUGCUAAGUCGAAAGACGAUGUAUAUGGGCUGACGCCUGCCCGGUGCUGGAAGGUUAAGGGGAUCUGUUAGGAGCAAUCCGAAGCAGAGAACUUAAGCCCCAGUAAACGGCGGCCGUAACUAUAACGGUCCUAAGGUAGCGAAAUUCCUUGUCAGGUAAGUUCUGACCCGCACGAAUGGCGUAACGAUUUGGGAGCUGUCUCGACAACAUACCCGGCGAAAUUGAAGUACUGGUAAAGAUGCCAGUUACCCGUGAUUAGACGGAAAGACCCCAUGGAGCUUUACUGUAACUUGAUAUUGAAUUUUUGUAUUUCAUGUACAGGAUAGGUGGGAGACAUAGAAGCAUGCACGCCAGUGUGUGCGGAGUCGCUGUUGGGAUACCACCCUUGGAAUAUGAAGGUUCUAACCUGCGCUCGUGAAUCCGGGCGGGGGACACUGUCAGGUGGACAGUUUGACUGGGGCGGUCGCCUCCAAAAAGGUAACGGAGGCGUUCAAAGGUUAUCUCAGCACGGACGGAAAUCGUGCAAAGAGUGCAAACGCAUAAGAUAGCCUAACUGCGAGAGGUACAUCUCGAGCAGUAACGAAAGUUGGAGUUAGUGAUCCGGCGGUAUGAGAGUGGAAUUGCCGUCGCUCAACGGAUAAAAGCUACCCUGGGGAUAACAGGCUGAUCUCCCCCAAGAGUCCACAUCGACGGGGAGGUUUGGCACCUCGAUGUCGGCUCAUCACAUCCUGGGGCUGUAUUCGGUCCCAAGGGUUCGGCUGUUCGCCGAUUAAAGUGGUACGCGAGCUGGGUUCAGAACGUCGUGAGACAGUUCGGUCCCUAUCUGUCGUGGGCGCAGGAUAUUUGAGGAGAGCUGUCCUUAGUA
This 2594-nucleotide ribosomal RNA is filed under the name metagenome. Its description in RNAcentral is "bacterial LSU rRNA". It matches the Rfam family "Bacterial large subunit ribosomal RNA". The record is from RNAcentral.